Portunus trituberculatus (swimming crab) is the source of this 1092-nucleotide long non-coding RNA. RefSeq lists it as uncharacterized. The record is from RefSeq and is a predicted model, not a curated record. NCBI's taxonomy places the organism in Eukaryota, Metazoa, Arthropoda, Malacostraca, Decapoda, Portunidae. The transcript has 3 exons.
GGAUGUGAUGAAUGAUAUGAAUGAUAUGAAAAGUAUUCAUGUAUGAUGUGUGUACUUUUGGAUCAUCAGUGUGGAAAGUAGUGAAAUAUAAGAAAGUACUUGUGUGUAUGACGAGUGAUGGAGGUCUUCCUUCAGGGAGGACCUGAUGCCAAAGAGAACGAGACGAAGAGCCAGGGACCAGUGCUCACGGUGUGCAGAGGCCAUUAGGAAGGACUUAAGCUGGCAGUGGAAACGCUCUACAAUGCUGUUGCUCUGGGGGUGGUAGCUAGAAGUCCUGUAACGGCGUAUACCAAGGAGAGCCAUUACCUUGCUCCACACCUUAACUUCAAACUGGCUGCCGUGGUCAGAGAUGAGGCUGAGCAGAACACUGAAUCUUGAGACCUAAGUAUUUAUGAAGGCUUGAGUGACGGUGUCCAUGGUAAUAUCAGCCAGGGGUGCGGCCUCAGCCCAGCGUGUGAAACGAUCCACGCAGGUGAGGAUGUAUAAUGAUGGCCAGCUGAGGGAGGUAGAGGACCAACGAAGUCGAUGUGCAGGUGGUCAAAUCUUCCAGUGGGGUGUGGGAAGGUGCCAGGCAGCAAGUGAGUGUGGCGAAUGACCUUGGAAGCUUGACAAUGUGUGCAGGUGCGGUCCCAGAGAUGGAUGUCCUUGUUCAUACCUUCCCAGAUGAAGCGAGAAGUCACGAGGUGUUGUGAGACGUGGAUGCCAGGGUGGGAGAGGUCGUGGAGCUGACGGAAGGCCACAUAGCAGUGUCGCUGGGUAAGUCAACAAGGAAACUACAUAUGUAAGACUCCAGCCAAGCUGGGUAUAUUGGAAGCACAACUCAAGCUUUCAAGGUUCAUGUGGAUGAGCACAAGGGACAGUGAGCAGAACGGACCGUAGAACUCACAACCCCCCACAUUAAGCUGUGAGAGAUCACUCUGAGACCAUUGAUGAUGACAUACUGAGAUGUCGAAACGUCUGGAUAUAAAGAAGAAAGGAAGAAAAUGGUUAAGAAAAUAAAGGUGUUGUUUGUGUCAAUGCUGGUUAUUCUGUUCCUAUUGAAGCUGAGGUUCCCCAUGAACAGAGCUGUCUCUGAUGUAAAUACUUCUUGUC